CGGACGGGUGAGUAAUGCGUAGGAAGCUGCCCGAUAGAGGGGGAUACCAGUUGGAAACGGCUGUUAAUACCGCAUAAUGUCUACGGACCAAAGUGUGGGACCUUCGGGCCACAUGCUAUCGGAUGCGCCUACGUGGGAUUAGCUGGUUGGUGGGGUAAAGGCUCACCAAGGCGACGAUCCCUAGCUGGUUUGAGAGGAUGAUCAGCCACACUGGGACUGAGACGCGGCCCAGACUCCUACGGGAGGCAGCAGUGGGGAAUAUUGGACAAUGGGCGCAAGCCUGAUCCAGCCAUGCCGCGUGUGUGAAGAAGGCCUUCGGGUUGUAAAGCACUUUCAGUGGGGAGGAAGGGGUGUGUGUUAAUAGCACAUAUCUUUGACGUUACCCACAGAAGAAGCACCGGCUAACUCCGUGCCACCAGCCGCGGUAAUACGGAGGGUGCAAGCGUUAAUCGGAAUUACUGGGCGUAAAGCGCACGCAGGCGGCUUGUUAAGUCGGAUGUGAAAGCCCCGGGCUCAACCUGGGAAUGGCAUCUGAUACUGGGAAGCUAGAGUAUGUGAGAGGGGGGUAGAAUUCCAAGUGUAGCGGUGAAAUGCGUAGAGAUUUGGAGGAAUACCAGUGGCGAAGGCGGCCCCCUGGCACAAUACUGACGCUCAGGUGCGAAAGCGUGGGGAGCAAACAGGAUUAGAUACCCUGGUAGUCCACGCCGUAAACGAUGUCUACUACCUGUUCGCGGGCCUUGUGUUGUGAGUAGCGCAGCUAACGCGUUAAGUAGACCGCCUGGGGAGUACGGUCGCAAGAUU
This 801-nucleotide ribosomal RNA is filed under the name uncultured bacterium. RNAcentral's name for it is "bacterial SSU rRNA". It matches the Rfam family "Bacterial small subunit ribosomal RNA", at positions 99 to 895 of the family's 1533-position model. The record is from RNAcentral.